UCAUGGGCCUCAAAUAAUGUGUGGCUACCCCCUAAAUUUAAGCAU
Molecule: ribosomal RNA, 45 nt
Filed under: Anopheles messeae
Lineage: Eukaryota; Metazoa; Arthropoda; Insecta; Diptera; Culicidae
Description: partial 28S ribosomal RNA
Source: RNAcentral